UACGUAGGCGGCAAGCGUUGUCCGGAUUUACUGGGCGUAAAGGGCGUGCAGGCGGUCUGUUAAGUCUAGGGUGAAAGCUCCCGGCUCAACUGGGAGAGGUCCUUGGAUACUGGCGGACUUGAGGGAGGCAGAGGAAAGUGGAAUUCCCGGUGUAGUGGUGAUAUGCGUAGAUAUCGGGAGGAACACCAGUGGCGAAGGCGGCUUUCUGGGCCUUACCUGACGCUGAGACGCGAAAGCGUGGGGAGCGAACCGG
This 253-nucleotide ribosomal RNA is filed under the name uncultured bacterium. Its description in RNAcentral is "partial 16S ribosomal RNA". It matches the Rfam family "Bacterial small subunit ribosomal RNA", at positions 524 to 776 of the family's 1533-position model. The record is from RNAcentral.